This 492-nucleotide ribosomal RNA is filed under the name uncultured bacterium. Its description in RNAcentral is "partial 16S ribosomal RNA". It matches the Rfam family "Bacterial small subunit ribosomal RNA", at positions 29 to 507 of the family's 1533-position model. The record is from RNAcentral.
AGUGAACGCUGGCGGUAGGCCUAACACAUGCAAGUCGAACGGCAGCACAGUAAGAGCUUGCUCUUACGGGUGGCGAGUGGCGGACGGGUGAGGAAUACAUCGGAAUCUACUUUUUCGUGGGGGAUAACGUAGGGAAACUUACGCUAAUACCGCAUACGACCUACGGGUGAAAGCAGGGGAUCUUCGGACCUUGCGCGAUUGAAUGAGCCGAUGUCGGAUUAGCUAGUUGGCGGGGUAAAGGCCCACCAAGGCGACGAUCCGUAGCUGGUCUGAGAGGAUGAUCGGCCACACGGGAACUGGGCCACGGUCCAGACGCCUACGGGAGGCAGCAGUGGGGAAUAUGGGACAAUGGGCGCAAGCCUUAUCCAGCCAUACCGCGUGGGUGAAGAAGGCCUUCGGUUUGUAAAGCCCUUUUGUUGGGAAAGAAAAGCAGCAGGUUAAUACCCCGCUGUUCUGACGGUACCCAAAGAAUAAGCACCGGCUAACUUCGUG